This 301-nucleotide ribosomal RNA is filed under the name uncultured bacterium. RNAcentral describes it as "partial 16S ribosomal RNA". It matches the Rfam family "Bacterial small subunit ribosomal RNA", at positions 509 to 807 of the family's 1533-position model. The record is from RNAcentral.
CAGUAGCCGCGGGAACACGGAGGGGGCUAGCGUUGUUCGGAAUUACUGGGCGUAAAGCGUACGUAGGCGGCUUUGUAAGUUAGAGGUGAAAGCCUGGUGCUCAACACCAGAACUGCCUUUAAGACUGCAUCGCUUGAACGUCGGAGAGGUGAGUGGAAUUCCGAGUGUAGAGGUGAAAUUCGUAGAUAUUCGGAAGAACACCAGUGGCGAAGGCGGCUCACUGGACGACUGUUGACGCUGAGGUACGAAAGCGUGGGGAGCAAACAGGAUUAGAUACCCCCGUAGUCCCUGUCUCUUAUAC